This is a long non-coding RNA of Lagopus muta (rock ptarmigan), 1838 nucleotides long. RefSeq lists it as uncharacterized. Lineage: Eukaryota; Metazoa; Chordata; Aves; Galliformes; Phasianidae. The record is from RefSeq and is a predicted model, not a curated record. The transcript is spliced from 3 exons.
UCCCAUGGGAGCUCACAGAAAGAAAGGAACCAGUUCCCAAGAGGUCCCUGCCCCCCACUCAGCAAUCAGAGGCUAAUGGUACUGGGCACAUGUUGUAUCUGAUUUCCAAAAGAUGAGCUGGGCUGUUAGAUGGCCUUCCCAUCCCUGGUGUUGCAACCCUCAAAACUGAGAAGCUGUGCUCAUUUGGGACCAGCUACCUCCUUCCUUUACUCACCUCUGUAGUACAAUUGGGAGACAGGGAAAAAGUCUUGGUGUCUACGGCACAAAACCUGCACAACUUUGAAUCCUGCUUUUUACAUGCAUAUAAUACUGUUGUCAUGAACUAUUAGGUCAUGGCCUGAACCAGUGAUUGAACACCUGGUGAAGGGGAGCAGCCAGCCCUGAGAGCACAGGUGGAAGCAAUUCACCUGUGCAACCAGAGGGGUCCACCCCUCCCUAACCUCAUUUAAGGGCUGGCAGCUGUAAGAGAAAGAUCUCUGCUUGGAUAUUCCUUCUUUUGGAGUGUUUGGUGAGCCUUGAUCCUUGGAAAGGGAGUUACAGCACUUUCCUUUGAACUCGGUGCUACCCAAAACUCAGUGAGGACUGGAUCUCUGGGACACCUACAGAGAAGCAUUUGCAGAACAGGAGUUAAAGUCAUGUUCCAUGGGGAUGUUAAUUCAAUUUGCAUCUUGGGAAAUAAACUUCAUUUCUGUAAAGUCCCUGAACACCUCACACAGGCAGAAGUCAGGAGGAAAACUGUUGAAGAGUGAUCCUUGAGAAGUCUGGAUCCACAGGAGUGCUGGGGAGGGUUGAAUGUCAGCUCUACGUCCAAACCUCAGCCAGUAGAAAAAGGAUGACAUCUCCAUGAUUACAUUUCUCCAGCUGGUUUCUUAAUUCCUUUGCCACAUGGAUGUGAAGUGCUACUUCCUCCUUUCUCCAGAGAGUUCAGUAAUCUUGUUUGUGCACCAGUGGCGAUUAAAAAAUGGAUUGCUCAGGUUGAAGGCAUUUUAAGACCAGCAGGCUGGCUAAAGCAGAUAUAGCUGGUUAUGGGAGACUGGUAAAGGCCCACAUAGAGUGGCUCAUUACCUUGAGACUCUGUGACUAAUGUUUUGAGAUUUGUUUGUUGGCACUGAUAUUUUGAAUGGCCCCAAUGCAGUCUUGUCAAUGGUGCUCUGUCCCACUGGGGCAGCUCCUGGCAUUUUUCUUCCCACACAUUGCACUCAAGACAGCAUUUUGAGACUACUGGGACUGAGAAAAUCAUUCCUCAUCCAGACCAUAACUGAAGAAACUUCACGGCCAGAUCAGUGCAGCUGACUCCAUUUGGCAGUUUGGACAAGGAUGAAUAUCAGUCUGGAGUGGUGGGAAUCAAGAGUGGUGAUACAAGCAGUGUUAAGCUUAAAAUGGCAUUGUGCUAUGCCAAGUUUUGCUGGGUAUAAACAUCUGCAAGCAGGAAAAGGGAUAUCAUCAUCUUGAAAAAUGAAACAAUGUGAAGAGGUUUCCAGUUUGGUGCUGAAGGUGUUGGUUGGUUGUGCACCAUUUGGAUGUGUUGUUGAAUACAGGUGAUAUCAUCCAUCUGACAGCACUCAGCUGAGAAUUUCUUUCAGAACAAUUGAAAUGAGCUGCUCAUACCAUCAAGGAAACAGAAAGCAGAGAAGCUAACAAGCCAAAUCUCUUUUCAGGACAAAGCAGCAAAACCAUCACUGAAAUACGAGCAGUAAACAUCAAAGAAAGGCUGAUGUGGUUUUUGAUAUACCUGGAUGUCACUCCUCCCCCCUCCAUGUUCAACAUAUUGUGUCAGCUGAAAUGCAUUGGGCCCCUCCAAAGCAACAGCAAAUAUCUGGGAACAGAUCCAGCGUUCA